RNAcentral lists this ribosomal RNA (783 nucleotides) under Bacillus licheniformis. RNAcentral describes it as "bacterial SSU rRNA". It matches the Rfam family "Bacterial small subunit ribosomal RNA", at positions 1 to 769 of the family's 1533-position model. Lineage: Bacteria; Bacillati; Bacillota; Bacilli; Caryophanales; Bacillaceae. The record is from RNAcentral.
UUAGUUUGAUCCCUGCUCAGGACGAACGCGGGCGGCGUGCUUAAUACAUGCAAGUCGAGCGGACCGACGGGAGCUUGCUCCUUUAGGUCAGCGGCGGACGGGUGAGUAACACGUGGGUAACCUGCCUGUAAGACUGGGAUAACUCCGGGAAACCGGGGCUAAUACCGGAUGCUUGAUUGAACCGCAUGGUUCAAUCAUAAAAGGUGGCUUUCAGCUACCACUUACAGAUGGACCCGCGGCGCAUUAGCUAGUUGGUGAGGUAACGGCUCACCAAGGCGACGAUGCGUAGCCGACCUGAGAGGGUGAUCGGCCACACUGGGACUGAGACACGGCCCAGACUCCUACGGGAGGCAGCAGUAGGGAAUCUUCCGCAAUGGACGAAAGUCUGACGGAGCAACGCCGCGUGAGUGAUGAAGGUUUUCGGAUCGUAAAACUCUGUUGUUAGGGAAGAACAAGUACCGUUCGAAUAGGGCGGUACCUUGACGGUACCUAACCAGAAAGCCACGGCUAACUACGUGCCAGCAGCCGCGGUAAUACGUAGGUGGCAAGCGUUGUCCGGAAUUAUUGGGCGUAAAGCGCGCGCAGGCGGUUUCUUAAGUCUGAUGUGAAAGCCCCCGGCUCAACCGGGGAGGGUCAUUGGAAACUGGGGAACUUGAGUGCAGAAGAGGAGAGUGGAAUUCCACGUGUAGCGGUGAAAUGCGUAGAGAUGUGGAGGAACACCAGUGGCGAAGGCGACUUCUCUGGUCUGUAACUGACGCUGAGGCGCGUAGUUGCUUACGUUCC